UGGGGAAUAUUGCACAAUGGGCGCAAGCCUGAUGCAGCCAUGCCGCGUGUGUGAAGACGGCCUUCGGGUUGUAAAGCACUUUCAGCGGGGAGGAAGGCGUUAAGGUUAAUAACCUUGGCGAUUGACGUUACCCGCAGAAGAAGCACCGGCUAACUCCGUGCCAGCGGCCGCGGUAAUACGGAGGGUGCAAGCGUUAAUCGGAAUUACUGGGCGUAAAGCGCACGCAGGCGGUCUGUCAAGUCGGAUGUGAAAUCCCCGGGCUCAACCUGGGAACUGCAUUCGAAACUGGCAGGCUAGAGUCUUGUAGAGGGGGGUAGAAUUCCAGGUGUAGCGGUGAAAUGAGUAGAGAUCUGGAGGAAUACCGGUGGCGAAGGCGGCCCCCUGGACAAAGACUGACGCUCAGGUGCGAAAGCGUGGGGAGCAAACAGG
This 429-nucleotide ribosomal RNA is filed under the name Chloroflexota bacterium. RNAcentral's name for it is "Chloroflexi bacterium partial 16S ribosomal RNA". It matches the Rfam family "Bacterial small subunit ribosomal RNA", at positions 355 to 776 of the family's 1533-position model. The record is from RNAcentral. Lineage: Bacteria; Bacillati; Chloroflexota.